AUGAGGCCGCCAGGUCUUGGUGUCGUCCUCCUUGCGAGGCUUGGCCCCUCGCGAGGGUCUUGUGUUGUUGCUGCCAAACUGGGCCCUACCGGGCCGCUGAUGGAGCCAUGCUACGGGCCGCACGCAGGCAAGUCUGGCACCCCCGGCCCCAUAACACCGACAAUAGCCCCCAGGCCCAAGGCGCGCUCGAGCUUGGCUUCGAGGCGAAGCCAAAGGGCAAGUGCGGAGCACCGCGGGCCCCAACCGCCUGCGGCCUCGGUCGACGCGUGGCGAUUGAUGGGAUGUGGGCAUCUCCGCUUCCCCACGCUGCCUCAGCAACCGUCCGACUUGACGAGACGCCGCUGCAUGCAAAGGGAAAAUCAUCAUUACAUGCGAUCGUGGUGA
This 384-nucleotide ribosomal RNA is filed under the name Triticum aestivum (bread wheat). RNAcentral's name for it is "partial small subunit ribosomal RNA". The record is from RNAcentral. Lineage: Eukaryota; Viridiplantae; Streptophyta; Magnoliopsida; Poales; Poaceae.